UGUGGGAGCGGGCUUGCUCGCGAAGCUUUUAGCGUCAGUGAUGACGCCUUCGCGAGCAAGCCCGCUCCCACA
Molecule: unclassified non-coding RNA, 72 nt
Filed under: Pseudomonas kilonensis
Lineage: Bacteria; Pseudomonadati; Pseudomonadota; Gammaproteobacteria; Pseudomonadales; Pseudomonadaceae
Source: RNAcentral